CCGUGCUAGGUGGGGAGGUAGCGGUGCCUUGUUACUCGCAAUCCGCUAUAGCGAGGCUGAAUCCCUAUCCGAGGUGAGCAUUUUUGAGGUCUGCCGUAAGUAAGUGGUGUUGACGCUUUGGUCCCGCGCAACAGGAACCCGUGAACCCUGUCAGAUCCGGAAGGAAGCAGCAGUAAGCGGUCAUUCUUGUGUGCCGCGGGGUUGCCUGAGCCGAGCCACGAGCUUACGUAACGCUCAGGAAUGCCUCAUCGACGGUAGGUGCACGG
RNAcentral lists this signal recognition particle RNA (266 nucleotides) under Virgibacillus sp. MSP4-1. Its description in RNAcentral is "Bacterial large signal recognition particle RNA". It matches the Rfam family "Bacterial large signal recognition particle RNA". Rfam says of the family: The signal recognition particle (SRP) is a universally conserved ribonucleoprotein involved in the co-translational targeting of proteins to membranes. Archaeal SRP consists of a 7S RNA and homologues of the eukaryotic SRP19 and SRP54 proteins. Lineage: Bacteria; Bacillati; Bacillota; Bacilli; Caryophanales; Bacillaceae. The record is from Rfam by way of RNAcentral.